GACCGGCGCACGGGUGAGUAACGCGUAUGCAAUCUACCUUCUACAGGGGAAUAACCCGGAGAAAUUCGGACUAAUACCGCAUAAAACAGGGGUCCCGCAUGGGAAUAUUUGUUAAAGAUUUAUCGGUAGAAGAUGAGCAUGCGUUCCAUUAGGUAGUUGGUGAGGUAACGGCUCACCAAGCCAACGAUGGAUAGGGGAACUGAGAGGUUUAUCCCCCACACUGGAACUGAGACACGGACCAG
Molecule: ribosomal RNA, 242 nt
Filed under: uncultured bacterium
Lineage: Bacteria
Description: partial 16S ribosomal RNA
Rfam family: Bacterial small subunit ribosomal RNA
Source: RNAcentral